GACGAACGCUGGCGGCGUGCUUAACACAUGCAAGUCGAACGGAAAGGCCCUGCACUUGUAGGGAGCGCGAGUGGCGAAAAGGUGAGUAUAACGUGAGUGACCUCCCCUUGACUUUGGGAUAACUUCAGGGGACUGGAGCUCAUAUCCGAUAUGAACUCCUGCUACAUGGGGGGGGUUGUAAAGUUUCGGCGGUUGGGGACGGACUCGCGGCGUCUCAGCUUGUUGGUGGGGUAGUGGCUUACCAAGGCUUUGACGGGUAGACGGCCUGCGAGGGUGACCGGCCACAUUGGGACUGGGAUACGGCCAGUACGGCAACGGGAGGAAGCAGUGGAGAACAGUGCACGAAGGGCGGAAGCCGUGUGCAGGAACGCCGCGUGCUGGAUGUCUGCCUGCAGGGUGUAACCCGGGUGCGCCUGGGACGAAGAGUGAGUGACGGUAAUUGGUAAAGAAGCACCGGCUAACUACGUG
This 468-nucleotide ribosomal RNA is filed under the name uncultured bacterium. RNAcentral describes it as "partial 16S ribosomal RNA". It matches the Rfam family "Bacterial small subunit ribosomal RNA", at positions 28 to 507 of the family's 1533-position model. The record is from RNAcentral.